AACGAACGUUAGCGGCGCGCUUAACACAUGCAAGUCGCACGAGAAAGGGCUUCGGCCCCGGUAAAGUGGCGCACGGGUGAGUAACACGUGGGUAAUCUUCCCUCAGGCGGGGGAUAACCUUCCGAAAGGAGGGCUAAUACCGCAUAAGACCACGGCUUCGAAAGAAGACGAGGUAAAAGCAGGCCUCUAUACAUAAGCUUGCACCAGAGGAUGAGCCCGCGGCCCAUCAGGUAGUUGGCAGGGUAACGGCCUACCAAGCCUAAGACGGGUAGCUGGU
RNAcentral lists this ribosomal RNA (277 nucleotides) under uncultured bacterium. RNAcentral describes it as "partial 16S ribosomal RNA". It matches the Rfam family "Bacterial small subunit ribosomal RNA", at positions 29 to 291 of the family's 1533-position model. The record is from RNAcentral.